GAUGAAGAACGUAGCGAAAUGCGAUAAGUGAUGUGAAUUGCAGAAUUCAGUGAAUCAUCGAAUCUUUGAACGCACAUUGCGCCCGCCAGUAUUCUGGCGGGCAUGCCUGUUCGAGCGUCAUUUCAACCAUCAAGCCCCCGGGCUUGUGUUGGGGACCUGCGGCUGCCGCAGGCCCUGAAAAGCAGUGGCGGGCUCGCUGUCACACCGAGCGUAGUAGAUUUUAUCUCGCUCAGGGCGUGCUGCGGGUUCCGGCCGUUAAACCACCUUCAUAACCCAAGGUUGACCUCGGAUCAGGUAGGAAGACCCGCUGAACUUAAGCAUAUCAAUAAGCGGAGGA
This 337-nucleotide unclassified non-coding RNA is filed under the name soil metagenome. Its description in RNAcentral is "partial contains 5.8S ribosomal RNA, internal transcribed spacer 2, and large subunit ribosomal RNA". The stretch from base 1 to 120 matches the Rfam family "5.8S ribosomal RNA", at positions 35 to 154 of the family's 154-position model. The record is from RNAcentral.